CCCGUCGUUACCCGUGUCACUUCCGGGUCAGAGGUUGUGUGCCGACAGGGCGACUGUUUGUGUGGUGCUCCGUGCUCCCUGUGUGUGCUGCUUUGGUUGUUUGGCAGUGGUAAAUGCUGGAAGCUGCCUGGAGUCCUCUCUCCCUCCCUCCUCUCCUGAGUGUGUGAGAGUCUGUUGCUGCUAAAACGGUGUUAUUGUAGCCACCUUACUGGAAUUGCUGCUGCUUUGUUUUCACUGCCAUUUGUAUCUGCUGCUGCUUGCCUUCAUGGUGCUCCCCUGCAGCCGUCAGAAGCUUCGCAGCGUCACUUCCAUCAAAAUAUACGCUGGGUGUCCUGUCUGCACGUCCUGUGCAGGACGAUUGUUCGGCCGCACGCUGCGGGCCAG
Molecule: long non-coding RNA, 384 nt
Organism: Epinephelus lanceolatus (giant grouper)
Lineage: Eukaryota; Metazoa; Chordata; Actinopteri; Perciformes; Serranidae
Source: RefSeq, a predicted model, not a curated record